UAGAGCUCGGCCGCAGCCGCCGCAGCGGCCGCCAGCCCCAGGCGCAUCUGGCCGUUGAGAGGGUGGCCGCCAGGAGCCCCCGGAGAGUCGUGCAGCGCGGGAAAGAGCGCGGGGCCGCCGCCGUCCCGGCCCGCCGAUUGGCAGAGUGAACACCACAUUUGAGCUGCACAGUGGGACCGACUUUUUGGAAAUGGCACGGGUGGGAUUGGAGGGAGCCAUGUGAUUGGCAGCUGCCUCGGCUGCGCGAUUGGCUCCGGUUCAGGCUCUGGGCCCAGCGGGGAACCGCCCCCCGAGCUCGAGACCGCCUGCGCUUUCACUUCGCGCCCCCUCCUCCCCAGGAGCUCUACAUGCCAGUCCCUUCCCCCCCUCCCCAUCUCUACGGAUGCCUAAGUUCCACUUGCAGAAGUUUGUGCUUGGCCUACUCCCUCAGUCCCCAGCGAACGUUCGGUCGACGCUCCUGGAGUGGAGCUCCUGGCCAGGGUGCAUCCAAUUUCGAGGGGGUCAAGGGACCUCCCGACCUGGGGUAAAGCUACGACGCGGGUGGGGAAGAACCCAAGGAUGGUAGUCCCCGAACACUUUCUACCUCCUUUCUUGGAUGAUCCCCUGGCUUCACUCUGGACCGAGUAACCAUCUUGCCAUGCAUGGUAUUUUAGCGAUGGGGGAAACUUCUUAUAUGGACCUCGUCUGCCACUGGGCCCACGUGGGGUAUGGCCUGGAGGCGGAAUGAGGACGGUUGUUAAACAUUAUUGGUUGCAAAACAGCUUCAUGGAGCUUGGCCAAAUACCAAAGUCAAAAUAAUAUAUGAUAAAUCCUUCCCCAAAAGAACAGUCUUACAUAGACUCUUUUAGCUCAUGGGUUGCCCAUUCAAACAUGGCUCAAAGGAACGGGCUCAAGAUGUAACCUCACUGUUCAUGGGUUCUAGACCUGCUCCUUCCAGUUAGAUCUCUCUGAGGGGCAGGGAGAUGGGACUAUGGAGUGGGGGUGGGGGUGUGAAGCUAACUUUUGCCUCUCAGAGUGGCAGAGAAGGCCAAGUGAAGCCUUUAAAUAAGAGACGCCCUUUAAACAGAAGGUCUCCUUCCUGCCCAGAACGCAUUCCUCAUAUGUGCCUCAGUUUCUCCAGAAGGACUGCAAGUUGGAAUAGACCAAAUAAAAUAUUUUAAAAAUCA
Long non-coding RNA from Mesocricetus auratus (golden hamster), 1166 nucleotides. RefSeq lists it as uncharacterized. NCBI's taxonomy places the organism in Eukaryota, Metazoa, Chordata, Mammalia, Rodentia, Cricetidae. The transcript has 2 exons. The record is from RefSeq and is a predicted model, not a curated record.